ACUCCUACGGGAGGCAGCAGUGGGAAUAUUGCACAAUGGGCGCAAGCCUGAUGCAGCCAUGCCGCGUGUGUGAAGAAGGCCUUCGGGUUGUAAAGCACUUUCAGUUGUGAGGAAGGUAGUGUAGUUAACACCUGCACUAUUUGACGUUACCUACAGAAGAAGCACCGGCUAACUCCGUGCCAGCAGCCGCGGUAAUACGGAGGGUGCGAGCGUUAAUCGGAAUUACUGGGCGUAAAGCGCAUGCAGGCGGCCUUGUUAAGUCAGAUGUGAAAGCCCGGGC
RNAcentral lists this ribosomal RNA (280 nucleotides) under uncultured bacterium. Its description in RNAcentral is "partial 16S ribosomal RNA". It matches the Rfam family "Bacterial small subunit ribosomal RNA", at positions 335 to 607 of the family's 1533-position model. The record is from RNAcentral.